UGAGGAUGGGAUUGUUUUUUUCCCUGAGCUGGGAGAGACCAUGCCAGCCCCUGGAUCCACAAGUGUGCAGCUCAGAGCCUCCAGUGCUCAGCAAGAGGAGGACCUGGACUCCCUGUGUCCUUCGUGCUCCCCAUGAAUUCAAUUAGGUACACUUCCACUAUCUUAUUUACUAUUUUUUUCCUGACAGCACAGGCAGUGGUAAGGUCCAGACUUCCAUCAAUACAACAGAUGGACGCAGCUCAAAAGGUGCCUUCAGAGCCUGACUCUUGAGGAAGUGUAAUGAUCUGGGAGAUGUGAGGAUGAAAGAGAAAAUUAAGAAAGCUGGACACUCUCUCCUGUGCCCUCAGGAGGGAGCCAAAUACUUCUGUUGAACAAAGAUGGGACGGCAGUAGCUGCAAGUGCUGGAUGCCACUUCUUUCAAUGGCUUCUGUACUGACAUGGCAGGGCUCAGAGCAGUCACGGGACACGGCACCGCAUUCUCUGCUGGCAGAUAAGGCUGAGGGCCAUGGGAUAUCUCACACACUGCCUUCAGCACCUCCUGCUGCUGGGGUGGAACGGAGUGCGGCGUUGCAUUCUGCACCCUGCAGAGCCUCCUGCUGGGAGGAAGGGGACCAGAGGAGCUGCAUUUUACUCACCCACGAUCCACCAUCUCACCCUCUGCAACAAUGGAGGCAGCCUAGAAUUACGGUACUGUCGCAGCUGUCUGCACUGAGCUGUGUAUUGCAUUUCCACCAUUCUCUGCGCUGCCUCCUGCUGACAUAACCUAGGACUGGAGCAGCUAGAAAAUAAACCAACCACCAAGAAAA
This is a long non-coding RNA of Tympanuchus pallidicinctus (lesser prairie-chicken), 806 nucleotides long. RefSeq lists it as uncharacterized. The record is from RefSeq and is a predicted model, not a curated record. NCBI's taxonomy places the organism in Eukaryota, Metazoa, Chordata, Aves, Galliformes, Phasianidae. The transcript has 2 exons.